RNAcentral lists this long non-coding RNA (242 nucleotides) under Ananas comosus (pineapple). RNAcentral's name for it is "long non-coding RNA (ACOM_LNC013522)". The record is from RNAcentral. Lineage: Eukaryota; Viridiplantae; Streptophyta; Magnoliopsida; Poales; Bromeliaceae.
CCCGAGAGCUGAAAAUCUGCAGUUUGCAGAAUUUUGAUUCUUAGCUCUCGAAAACCUUCCACAACACUCUUUUACUCAUUUUAACACAUUCGGACUUUCCGAAAUGUAACGUCCUCGCACUUUGGUCAAUUUGACUAAAGUUCGAUAUUGAUAUUUCGAAUUCUCGGUAUAUUACAUUCUCAACCCCUUAAAAUAAUUUCGUCCGCGAAAUUACGCAUACCUUAACUUGUUGACUCGAAUAA